CCUACGGGUGGCAGCAGUGAGGAAUAUUGGUCAAUGGGCGCGAGCCUGAACCAGCCAAGUAGCGUGAAGGAUGACUGCCCUACGGGUUGAAAACUUCUUUUAUAAAGGAAUAAAGUGAGGCACGUGUGCCCUUGUGUAUGUACGUUAUGAAUAAGGAUCGGCUAAGUCCGUGCCAGCAGCCGCGGUAAUACGGAGGAUCCGAGCGUUAUCCGGAUUGGUUGGGUGUAAAGGGAGCGUAGAUGGGUUGUUAAGUCAGUUGUGAAAGUUCGUGGCUCAACCGUAAAAUUGCAAUUGAUACUGGCAGUCUUGAGUACAGUAGAGGUAGGCGGAAUUCGUGGUGUAGCGGUGAAAUGCUUAGAUAUCACGAAGAACUCCGAUUGCGAAGGCAGCUUACUAAACUGCCACUGACAUUGAAGCGCGAAAGUGUGGGUAUCAAACAGGAUUAGAUACCCUUGUAGUC
RNAcentral lists this ribosomal RNA (460 nucleotides) under uncultured bacterium. RNAcentral describes it as "partial 16S ribosomal RNA". It matches the Rfam family "Bacterial small subunit ribosomal RNA", at positions 338 to 795 of the family's 1533-position model. The record is from RNAcentral.